AAGGAUGUAGUUCAAUUGGUAGAGUCUUUGCCUAGCAUUCAUAAAGCCCUGGGUUCAAUCCCCAGCAUAAUCA
This is a non-coding RNA of Cricetulus griseus (Chinese hamster), 73 nucleotides long. Lineage: Eukaryota; Metazoa; Chordata; Mammalia; Rodentia; Cricetidae. The record is from Rfam.